CCAAGGGUUCCUGUCCAACGUUAAUCGGGGCAGGGUGAGUCGACCCCUAAGGCGAGGCCGAAAGGCGUAGUCGAUGGGAAACGGGUUAAUAUUCCCGUACUUGGUGUUACUGCGAAGGGGGGACGGAGAAGGCUAUGUUGGCCGGGCGACGGUUGUCCCGGUUUAAGCGUGUAGGUGUGUGUUCCAGGUAAAUCCGGUUCACUUUAACACUGAGGCGUGACGACGAGGCACUACGGUGCUGAAGCAACAAAUGCCCUGCUUCCAGGAAAAGCCUCUAAGCAUCAGGUAACAUCAAAUCGUACCCCAAACCGACACAGGUGGUCAGGUAGAGAAUACCAAGGCGCUUGAGAGAACUCGGGUGAAGGAACUAGGCAAAAUGGUGCCGUAACUUCGGGAGAAGGCACGCUGACACGUAGGUGAAGUGAUUUACUCAUGGAGCUGAAGUCAGUCGAAGAUACCAGCUGGCUGCAACUGUUUAUUAAAAACACAGCACUGUGCAAACACGAAAGUGGACGUAUACGGUGUGACGCCUGCCCGGUGCCGGAAGGUUAAUUGAUGGGGUCAGCGCAAGCGAAGCUCCUGAUCGAAGCCCCGGUAAACGGCGGCCGUAACUAUAACGGUCCUAAGGUAGCGAAAUUCCUUGUCGGGUAAGUUCCGACCUGCACGAAUGGCGUAAUGAUGGCCAGGCUGUCUCCACCCGAGACUCAGUGAAAUUGAACUCGCUGUGAAGAUGCAGUGUACCCGCGGCAAGACGGAAAGACCCCGUGAACCUUUACUAUAGCUUGACACUGAACAUUGAGCCUUGAUGUGUAGGAUAGGUGGGAGGCUUUGAAGUGUGGACGCCAGUCUGCAUGGAGCCGACCUUGAAAUACCACCCUUUAAUGUUUGAUGUUCUAACGUGGACCCGUGAUCCGGGUUGCGGACAGUGUCUGGUGGGUAGUUUGACUGGGGCGGUCUCCUCCUAAAGAGUAACGGAGGAGCACGAAGGUUGGCUAAUCCUGGUCGGACAUCAGGAGGUUAGUGCAAUGGCAUAAGCCAGCUUGACUGCGAGCGUGACGGCGCGAGCAGGUGCGAAAGCAGGUCAUAGUGAUCCGGUGGUUCUGAAUGGAAGGGCCAUCGCUCAACGGAUAAAAGGUACUCCGGGGAUAACAGGCUGAUACCGCCCAAGAGUUCAUAUCGACGGCGGUGUUUGGCACCUCGAUGUCGGCUCAUCACAUCCUGGGGCUGAAGUAGGUCCCAAGGGUAUGGCUGUUCGCCAUUUAAAGUGGUACGCGAGCUGGGUUUAGAACGUCGUGAGACAGUUCGGUCCCUAUCUGCCGUGGGCGCUGGAGAACUGAGGGGGGCUGCUCCUAGUACGAGAGGACCGGAGUGGACGCAUCACUGGUGUUCGGGUUGUCAUGCCAAUGGCACUGCCCGGUAGCUAAAUGCGGAAGAGAUAAGUGCUGAAAGCAUCUAAGCACGAAACUUGCCCCGAG
RNAcentral lists this ribosomal RNA (1475 nucleotides) under Salmonella enterica subsp. enterica. Its description in RNAcentral is "partial 23S ribosomal RNA". It matches the Rfam family "Bacterial large subunit ribosomal RNA", at positions 1345 to 2803 of the family's 2925-position model. The record is from RNAcentral. Lineage: Bacteria; Pseudomonadati; Pseudomonadota; Gammaproteobacteria; Enterobacterales; Enterobacteriaceae.